GUCCGCCCAGGGUUAGUCGCAUCCUAAGUCGAGGCUGAAAAGCGUAGACGAUGGGUAACAGGUUAAUAUUCCUGUACCACCACUAGGCGGUUGAAUCUAGGAGAGACGCAAGCAUUAGAAUCUACUAGCGGAUGGAAGUGCUAGGUCAAGCGGACGGAGGUUCCGGUUAAUCCCGGAAGUUGCCUCUGGAAGUGAUGAGGUGUCCUUAAGGACUGAACUGAUUCGGUUGUUUGCCAAGAAAAGAACUCCGAGAGGACAAAUAGUGGUGUGCGUACCGCAAACCAACACAGGUAGGCAAGGAGAAUAUCCUAAGGCGCUCGAGAGAACUCUCGCUAAGGAACUCGGCAAAAUGGCUCCGUAACUUCGGGAGAAGGAGUGCUUGAGUUGGCUGGUUCGCCAGCCUAGCGAAAGCCGCAGUGAAAAGGCCCAUGCGACUGUUUACUAAAAACACAGGUCUGUGCUAAAUCGCAAGAUGAAGUAUACGGACUGACACCUGCCCGGUGCUGAAAAGUUAAAGAGAGGGGUUAGAGCUUAGGCUCGAAGCUCUGAACUGAAGCUUCAGUAAACGGCGGCGGUAACUAUAACCGUCCUAAGGUAGCGAAAUUCCUCGUCGGGUAAAAUCCGACCUGCACGAAUGGUGUAACGAUAUGGGCACUGUCUCAGCGAGAGGCUCGGCGAAAUUGUAUUAUCGGUGAAGAUGCCGAUUACCCGUAAAAAGACGGAAAGACCCCGUGAACCUUUACUAUAGCUUGAUAUUGAAUUUGGGUUUAGCUUGUGUAGGAUAGGUGGGAGACUUUGAAGCUGGAGCGCUAGCACCAGUGGAGUCGUCCUUGAAAUACCACUCUUGUUGUAUCUAAAUCCUAACUCUGGUUUGUAUAUCCAAGCCGAGGACAGUUUCAGGUGGGUAGUUUGACUGGGGCGGUCGCCUCCCAAAAUGUAACGGAGGCGCCCUAAGGUUCCCUCAGCGUGAUUGGAAACCACGCGUAGAGUGUAAAGGCAUAAGGGAGCUUGACUGCAAGACAGACAUGUCGAGCAGGUGCGAAAGCAGGGCUUAGUGAUCUUGCGAUUCCGUGUGGAAGGGUCGUAACUCAACGGAUAAAAGGUACUCCGGGGAUAACAGGCUUAUCGCGCCCAAGCGCUCACAGCGACGGCGCGGUUUGGCACCUCGAUGUCGGCUCAUCACAUCCUGGGGCUGCAGCUGGUCCCAAGGGUUGGGCUGUUCGCCCAUUAAAGUGGUACGUGAGCUGGGUUUAGAACGUCGUAAGACAGUUCGGUCCCUAUCUUUUACGGGCGUAGGAAAUUUGAGUGGAGCUGCCGCUAGUAUGAGAAGACCGUGGUGGACGAACCUCUGGUGCACCAGUUGUCACGCCUGUGGCAUCGCUGGGUAGCUAUGUUCGGAAAGGAUAAAUGCUGAAAGCAUCUAAGCAUGAAGCCUUCCUCAAGAUAAGAUUUCCCACAGAGUUAAUCUGGUAAGACCCCUUGUAGAUAACGAGGUUGAUAGGCCAAAUGUGUAAGCGCGGUGACGUGUUUAGCUAACUGGUACUAAUUGGUCGAGGGCUUAACUU
This 1565-nucleotide ribosomal RNA is filed under the name hydrothermal vent metagenome. Its description in RNAcentral is "bacterial LSU rRNA". It matches the Rfam family "Bacterial large subunit ribosomal RNA", at positions 1368 to 2925 of the family's 2925-position model. The record is from RNAcentral.